CCUACGGGUGGCAGCAGUGGGGAAUAUUGGACAAUGGGCGCAAGCCUGAUCCAGCCAUGCCGCGUGGGUGAAGAAGGCCUUCGGGUUGUAAAGCCCUUUUGUCCGGAAAGAAAACGUGUCGGUUAAUACCCGGCGCGGAUGACGGUACCGGAAGAAUAAGCACCGGCUAACUUCGUGCCAGCAGCCGCGGUAAUACGAAGGGUGCAAGCGUUACUCGGAAUUACUGGGCGUAAAGCGUGCGUAGGCGGUUCGUUAAGUCCGAUGUGAAAGCCCUGGGCUCAACCUGGGAAUGGCAUGGGAUACUGGCGGGCUAGAGUGCGGUAGAGGAUGGUGGAAUUCCCGGUGUAGCGGUGAAAUGCGUAGAGAUCGGGAGGAACAUCUGUGGCGAAGGCGGCCAUCUGGACCAGCACUGACGCUGAGGCACGAAAGCGUGGGGAGCA
RNAcentral lists this ribosomal RNA (440 nucleotides) under uncultured bacterium. RNAcentral's name for it is "bacterial SSU rRNA". It matches the Rfam family "Bacterial small subunit ribosomal RNA", at positions 338 to 770 of the family's 1533-position model. The record is from RNAcentral.